GACACAGUUCACUGUAAUUCUGCUAAAACUGCAAAAUGAUAAAACUACACCUGGGCUUGUUUGGCAAUCGAUCUCCGGCUGUGAACGUUAUGACAGUCGACGUGUUACUGAUUGUCCUGUUUGUAUCAGGUGCUUUGGCUGGUUGUAC
This is a long non-coding RNA of Oreochromis aureus, 148 nucleotides long. RefSeq lists it as uncharacterized. The transcript has 3 exons. The record is from RefSeq and is a predicted model, not a curated record. NCBI's taxonomy places the organism in Eukaryota, Metazoa, Chordata, Actinopteri, Cichliformes, Cichlidae.